AAUCAAGCUACUAAGGGCAUACGGUGGAUGCCUUGGCGCUAGAAGCCGACGAAGGGCGUGGCACACUGCGAAAAGCUCUGGGGAGCCCGUGUGCAGGCGACAUAUCCAGAGAUACCCGAAUGGGGGAACCCGCGCAGGAGAACCUUGCGCACCGCUGGCUGAACACAUAGGCCAGCAGGAGGGAACCGGGGGAACUGAAACAUCUUAGUACCCCGAGGAAAAGAGAGCAUUCCCUGAGUAGUGGCGAGCGAAAGGGGAGGAGCCCAAACCGAUAUCGUUGAGUGGACUGCGAUCCUAAACGAUAUGGGGGUUGUAAGGCCUGACGGACGAGGUUGCAGACUCGUCGAGGAGUAAGAAACCUUUUCUCUAGUGGAAGGACAUGGGAUGGUCCGCCAGAGGGGGUGAUAGCCCCGUACACGAAAGGGAAGAGGCUCCUGUUGGGACCUUGAGUACCACGGGACACGAUACUCUUGUGGGAAGCUGGGCAGACCACUGUCCAAGGCUAAACACUUCUAGCGACCGAUAGCGAACAAGUACCGUGAGGGAAAGGUGAAAAGUCCCCCUGUUAGGGGAGUGAAAGAGAACCUGAAACCGUAUGCCUACAAGCAGUCAAAGGGCUAUGUCCCUUCGGGGAAAUGCCUAAUGGCGUGCCUUUUGGAGUAUGAUCCGGCGAGUUAAUCUCUGUCGCCAGGUUAAGGCAGUGACAGCCGAAGCCGAAGCGAAAGCGAGUCUGAAUAGGGCGUGUAGUGGCAGGGAUUAGACACGAAACCGGGUGAGCUACCCAUGGCCAGGUUGAAGCGGGAGUAAUGUCCCGUGGAGGACCGAACCCGUUAGUCUUGCAAAACUAUGGGAUGAGCUGUGGGUAGAGGUGAUAUGCCAAACGAACCCGGAGAUAGCUUGUUCUCCCCGAAAUAGCUUUAGGGCUAGCCUCAGAGGUUUAGUGAUGGAGGUAGAGCACUGGAUGGGCAAGGGGGCUUAUCGCUUACCGACCCCAACCAAACUCCGAAUGCCGUCACUUUAGACUCUGGGAGUCGGCUCAUGGGAGAUAAGUUCCAUGAACGAGAGGGAAACAACCCGGACCGCCAGCUAAGGUCCCGAAAUCCAGGUUAAGUGGGAAACGAUGUGAGAAUACUUAGACAGCCAGGAGGUUAGCCUAGAAGCAGCUAUCCUUUAAAGAGUGCGUAAUAGCUCACUGGUCAAGUGAUCUUGCGCGGAAAAUUUAACGGGGCUCAAACCUGGUACCGAAGCUGCGGAGUUCGUCGAGAGACGGGCUGGUAGGGGAGCGUUCUGUAGGAGAGACAAGGCGUACCGUAAGGAGCGCUGCGGCCUACAGAAGUGAGAAUGCCGGAAUGAGUAGCGUGAAACAUGUGAGAACCAUGUUCGCCGUAAGUCUAAGGUUUCCGACGGAAGGUCAAUCCGCGUCGGGUUAGGCGGUCCUAAGCCGAGGCCGAGAGGCGUAGGCGAUGGACAGCAGGUUAACAUUCCUGCCCCGCUACAGAGGAGCGAAGGGGGGACGCAGCAUGGUAGGCCAGCCCUGUGAAUGGAUUCGGGUACGUGCCUGAUAGGGAAGUGAGGAGGACGGGAAAUACGUUCUCUGAUCCUGAGAGUCACGUCGGGGCCUUGAGCCGUAAGUGAGCUGAGCCAAGCUGCCAAGAAAAGCCUCUAAGUGAAGAGACUGUAGCGACCGUACCGCAAACCGACACUGGUAGACGGGUAGAGUAUACCAAGGCGAACGAGAGAACCCUCGUUAAGGAACUCGGCAAACUAACCCCGUAACUUCGGGAGAAGGGGUGCCCUUUGGCGUGAGCGGGAUAACUGUGAGCGCUGAGGGGUCGCAGUGAAAUGGCUCUAGUGACUGGUUAACAAAACCACAGGUCUCUGCGAACUCGUAAGAGGAAGUAUAGGGGCUGACGCCUGCCCAGUGCCGGAAGGUUAAAGGGAGGGGUUAGCGAAAGCGAAGCUCUGAACUGAAGCCCCGGUGAACGGCGGCCGUAACUAUAACGGUCCUAAGGUAGCGAAAUUCCUUGUCGGGUAAGUUCCGACCCGCACGAAUGGCGUAACAACUGGAGCGCUGUCUCAACGAGGGACUCGGCGAAAUUGAAAUACGGGUAAAGAUGCCCGUUACCCGCAGCAGGACAAAAAGACCCCGUGGAGCUUUACUGUAUCUUGGUAUUGAGUUAGGGCUUAGUUUGUGUAGGAUAGCUGGGAGACGGAGAAACUGGGGCGCCAGCCUCGGUGGAGUCGACCUUGAAAUACCAGCCUGACUAAGUUUUGGCCCUAACCUGCGACCGUGACCCGGCGUGGGGACAGUGCCAGGUGGGCAGUUUGACUGGGGCGGUCACCUCCGAAAAGGUAACGGAGGUGCGCAAAGGUUCCCUCAAGGUGAAUGGAAACCACCUGAAGAGUGUAAAGGCAUAAGGGAGCUUGACUGCAAGGCCAACAAGCCGAGCAGAGACGAAAGUCGGCCUUAGUGAUCCUACGGCUCUGAGUGGAAAGGCCGUGGCUUAACGGACAAAAGCUACCCCGGGGAUAACAGAGUGGUGAGGCCCAAGAGUCCACAUCUACGGCCUCGCUCGCUACCUCGAUGUCGGCUCGUCGCAUCCUGGGGCUGAAUCAGGUCCCAAGGGUUGGGCUGUUCGCCCAUUAAAGCGGCACGCGAGCUGGGUUCAGACCGUCGUGAGACAGGUCGGUCUCUAUCCGCUGUGGGCGCAGGGGAUUUGCGGGGAGCUGCCCUUAGUAUGAGAAGACCGGGGUGGACAGACCGCUGGUGUGCCAGUUGUACCGCCAGGUGCAUAGCUGGGUAGCCAAGUCUGGCAGAGAUAACCGCUGAAAGCAUCUAAGUGGGAAACUCGCCCCAAGAUUAGAUCCCCCACUCCGUAAGGAGGUAAGACCGCUGGAAGACUACCAGUAGAUAGGCCGCAGGUGUAAGCACAGCAAUGUGUUAAGCUAAGCGGUACUAAUGGUCGAGGGCUUGAUUCG
RNAcentral lists this ribosomal RNA (2979 nucleotides) under Anaerolineae bacterium. Its description in RNAcentral is "23S ribosomal RNA". It matches the Rfam family "Bacterial large subunit ribosomal RNA". The record is from RNAcentral. Lineage: Bacteria; Bacillati; Chloroflexota; Anaerolineae.